GAGUUUGAUCAUGGCUCAGGCAUGAACGCUAGCGGGAGGCCUAACACAUGCAAGUCGAGGGGUAACGGAAGUAGCUUGCUACUAGACGACGACCGGCGCACGGGUGAGUAACGCGUAUGUAAUCUGCCUUGUACAGAGGGAUAGCCCAGAGAAAUUUGGAUUAAUACCUCAUAGUAUUACUGAAUCGCAUGAUUUGGUAAUUAAAGCUCCGGCGGUACAAGAUGAACAUGCGUGACAUUAGCUAGUUGGUAAGGUAACGGCUUACCAAGGCUACGAUGUCUAGGGGUUCUGAGAGGAUGAUCCCCCACACUGGUACUGAGACACGGACCAGACUCCUACGGGAGGCAGCAGUGAGGAAUAUUGGUCAAUGGACGCAAGUCUGAACCAGCCAUCCCGCGUGAAGGAUGACUGCCCUAUGGGUUGUAAACUUCUUUUAUAUGCAAAUAAACCUACUUUCGUGAAAGUAGCUGAAGGUAGCAUAUGAAUAAACACCGGCUAACUCCGUGCCAGCAGCCGCGGUAAUACGGAGGGUGUAAGCGUUAUCCGGAUUUAUUGGGUUUAAAGGGUACGUAGGCGGUAAUAUAAGUCAGUGGUGAAAUCCUGCAGCUCAACUGUAGAACUGCCAUUGAAACUGUAUUACUUGAGUAUACUUUGAGGUAGGCGGAAUGAGUAGUGUAGCGGUGAAAUGCUUAGAUAUUACUCAGAACACCGAUUGCGAAGNCAGCUUACUAAGGUAUAACUGACNCUGAUGUACNAAAGCGUGGGGAGCGAACAGGAAU
RNAcentral lists this ribosomal RNA (779 nucleotides) under uncultured bacterium. RNAcentral's name for it is "bacterial SSU rRNA". It matches the Rfam family "Bacterial small subunit ribosomal RNA", at positions 9 to 779 of the family's 1533-position model. The record is from RNAcentral.